Xiphophorus hellerii (green swordtail) is the source of this 989-nucleotide long non-coding RNA. RefSeq lists it as uncharacterized. NCBI's taxonomy places the organism in Eukaryota, Metazoa, Chordata, Actinopteri, Cyprinodontiformes, Poeciliidae. The record is from RefSeq and is a predicted model, not a curated record. The transcript is spliced from 2 exons.
CCGCAGCCUAUCUGCUAGGUAUAUUAGCAGGAGCCGGGAGGUAUGAAACAUUAGGACGCGUUGGGAGGAGCAGAGCUGCAGGAGCCAACUACUGAGAGCCAUAAAGGAGGUGAAAAAAAUCUGUUUGUGUGAGAUAAAACUGCGGAAUUGGCCAGGUUCGAUGGCGAGCUAGAGCCCAAGAAAAGAUUGCACUUUUGGUGCUGGAAGACUUCUGCUUCUCCUGCCAGGCUGGUAGGAGGCUUCUUGCAGCUAAUGAACAAUUUUCUCCCCACUCUGAUCUGACUUUAGUCAGCUGAUGACCUGCACUGCACCAAGCUUUUUAAUUGUAAUCUGCUUGGGACCUCUAAUCAACCCCAGCUUGAAGGUAGAUGAACUGAAGGGUGUGGGUCCAUUUAUGUUGGAACUGUGGGAUUGAUAAAUUUUGUUUUUUGUUUAUUUUGUGUUUUUUUUGUUUUUUUUCCCCCUUUCUUUUUUGCGCAUUUUUAUAUGGCCAUUUGGAUGUUUCCACUGUUGUAAAUAUGUAUAUAGUUUUUUUUCACACUAUAAAUACAAGGCACUCGCAACUGCAACCUUCUAGUCUGUCUGCUCCUUCACGAGUCGCACCUACCUUCUGUAAAAACUAGCCCAUUGAUCUUAUUGGUCACCAUUCAUUUACAUUUAUUGAAAAUAUAGUAUAUUUACAAAUAUGCUACACAGUACUCAAACCUUUGUGUUGCAAGACAACAGUACAACCGACUUCUUCACCAGCCUUAUGUAGACUGAAACUGAUAUCAACUUUUAACUGAUUUUCAAAAUUCAAAUUUCAAACUGAUUUUCAACAUUCAAUUUGCAUAGUGUGACCCUUUUAGUAGAAACAGUGCUGUAGUCAUCACUACUGUAAACCAGCAAAAUUGUUAUGACAGAGAAAUGUGAAUUUAAACCCAUUUUAUUUCCAGUUGAUAAAACCACUGAGUGCUUCCAUCUUGCAAUAAAAUGUUUGUUUUUCUGGC